This 529-nucleotide ribosomal RNA is filed under the name uncultured cyanobacterium. RNAcentral's name for it is "bacterial SSU rRNA". It matches the Rfam family "Bacterial small subunit ribosomal RNA", at positions 45 to 618 of the family's 1533-position model. Lineage: Bacteria; Bacillati; Cyanobacteriota. The record is from RNAcentral.
UGCUUAACACAUGCAAGUCGAACGGUCUUUUCGGAGAUAGUGGCGGACGGGUGAGUAACGCGUAAGAAUCUACCUUCAGGUUGGGGACAACCACUGGAAACGGUGGCUAAUACCGAAUGUGCCGAGAGGUGAAAGGCUUGCUGCCUGAAGAAGAGCUUGCGUCUGAUUAGCUAGUUGGUGGGGUAAGAGCCUACCAAGGCGACGAUCAGUAGCUGGUCUGAGAGGAUGAUCAGCCACACUGGGACUGAGACACGGCCCAGACUCCUACGGGAGGCAGCAGUGGGGAAUUUUCCGCAAUGGGCGAAAGCCUGACGGAGCAAUACCGCGUGAGGGAGGAAGGCUCUUGGGUUGUAAACCUCUUUUCUCAGGGAAGAAGAAAGUGACGGUACCUGAGGAAUAAGCAUCGGCUAACUCCGUGCCAGCAGCCGCGGUAAUACGGAGGAUGCAAGCGUUAUCCGGAAUGAUUGGGCGUAAAGGGUCCGCAGGUGGCAUUGUAAGUCUGCUGUUAAAGAGUCACGCUCAACGUGAU